This 516-nucleotide ribosomal RNA is filed under the name Burkholderia sp. HPML67. RNAcentral describes it as "bacterial SSU rRNA". It matches the Rfam family "Bacterial small subunit ribosomal RNA", at positions 1 to 500 of the family's 1533-position model. The record is from RNAcentral. Lineage: Bacteria; Pseudomonadati; Pseudomonadota; Betaproteobacteria; Burkholderiales; Burkholderiaceae.
UCCGCUAGUUUGAUCCUGGCUCAGAUUGAACGCUGGCGGCAUGCCCUACACCACUGCAAGUCGAACGGCAGCACCGGGGGCAACCCCUGGUGGCGAGUGGCGAACGGGUGAGUAAUACAUCGGGAACGUGUCCCUGUAGUGGGGGAUAGCCCGGCGAAAGCCGGAUUAAUACCGCAUACGAUCUACGGAAGAAAGCCGGGGGAUCCGCAGACCUCCGCGCUAUAGGGGCGGCCGAUGGCAGAUUAGCUAGUUGGUGGGGUAAAGGCCUACCAGGCGACGAUCCUGUAGCUGGUCCUGAGAGGACGACCAGCCACACUGGGACUGAGACACGGCCCAGACUCCCUACGGGAGGCAGCAGUGGGGAAUUUUGGACAAUGGGGGAAACCCUGAUCCAGCAAUGCCGCGUGUGUGAAGAAGGCUUCCGGGUUGUAAAGCACUUUUGUCCGGACCCAGAAAACUUCUGCCCUAAUACGGCGGGAGGAUGACGGUACCGGAAGAAUAACGACCCCCGGGGAA